CACUGGCCCCAGCGUCUCUGGCUGCAGCGUCUCCUGCGUCUCUGGCUGCAGCGACUCCUGUGUCUCUGGCUGCGGCGUCUCCUGCCUUAGCCUCAGCUCAGCCACGCCAAGCUCAAACUCCAGCUCCAGCUCAAACUCCAGCUCCAGCUCAAGCUCAAGCUCAAGCUCAAGCUCAAGCUCAAGCUCAAGCUCAAGCUCAAGCCUCGGCUCAGCCACGCCAAGCUCAAGCUCAAGCUCAAGCUCAAGCUCAAGCUCAAGCUCAAGCUCAAGCUCAAGCUCAAGCUCAAGCUCAAGCUCAAGCUCAAGCUCCGGCUCAAGCUCACGCCUCGACUUCGCCACGCCAAGCUCAAGCUCCAUCUUUAGCCAGCUAGUGGACACCCCUGGUCAGCCACACCAGGCCUCAGUUCCAGUUCCUGUCGGACAAGUAGAGGCCGUUCCUGUCCCUGUCGGCCAUGUUGCGGCCGUUCCAGUCCCUGUUCCUGUCGGCCAUGUUGCGGCCGUUCCAGUCCCAGUUCCUGAGGACGCCGUUCUAGUUCCUGUCGGCUCCUCGGAGGAGGACGCCGUUCUAGUUCCUGGUCCAGCUCUGUCUCCUGCCGCCCUCCCGGAGGAGGUGGUCGGCCCGCUCCUGGUCCCUGUGUUUUUUGGGCCAAUGUGUGCAGGUGCAGCUCCUGGUGGUCCAGCGCCGGCCGCGUUUGCAGCGAUUCCGGGUGAUCUGGCACAGAUCGCAUCUGCCUCAGCUCCUGGUGGUCCGGUCCCGGCCACGCUCGUCUCAGCUCCUGGUGGUCCGGUCCCUGCCACGCUCGUCUCAGCUCCUGGUGGUCCGGCCCCGGCCACACUCGUCUCAGCUCCUGGUGGCCCGGCUCCGGCCGCGCCUGCAUCGGUUCCUGGUGGCCCGGCUCCGGCCACGCCUGCAUCGGUUCCUGGUGGCCCUUCUCUGGUCCCGGCUCCGGCCUCGUCUCCACGUCUGCCCUCGUCUCUGGUCCCGGCUCCGGCCUCAUCUCCACGUCUGUCCUCGUCUCUGGUCCCGGCUCCAGCCUCGUCUCCACGCCUGCCCUCGUCUCUGGUCCCGGCCUCGUCUCCACAUGUGUCCCUGUCUCUGGUUCCUGC
Molecule: long non-coding RNA, 1107 nt
Filed under: Betta splendens (Siamese fighting fish)
Lineage: Eukaryota; Metazoa; Chordata; Actinopteri; Anabantiformes; Osphronemidae
Description: lncRNA (ENSBSLG00000018490.1)
Source: RNAcentral